RNAcentral lists this long non-coding RNA (1988 nucleotides) under Canis lupus familiaris (dog). RNAcentral's name for it is "lncRNA (ENSCAFG00805025838.1, ENSCAFG00845026317.1)". Lineage: Eukaryota; Metazoa; Chordata; Mammalia; Carnivora; Canidae. The record is from RNAcentral.
CAAACAUGAGUUUGUUUAAUAAAAUUUGGGCUACUCUGUGUGGCAUGCUGCCACUGAACAUAUAAUUCCUUUCCCUUUUAUUCGAAGAAGCUCCUGUUGGAGGCAGCUUCCCCCUCCCUUCUCUUCUUUCAUCCCACAGAUCAUUUCCAUACAGCCCACUCGAUAUUGCCUGGCAGCACGAGGGACCAGAAUAGCAUGGAGAAUUGAAACCCACAGAAGAGCUACAGCCUCCUCCCCCUUGGACACUGGCAAGCUAAGCUGCUAACAAGUGGCAGGAUCGAUUCAUUUGAAUUUCAUCUCCCUUCAUUUCCUCUGCCUUCCCUCUGGUGCUGGUGAUAAUGAGCGGUGAAAAUGACCCAGGACCCAGGAGGCAGAUGCAAGUGGGGGGGUGGAAUCCAGGGGUUGAGAUAAUCCAUAGCUUGAAGACUCAAGAAUUAGCUUUGGUUCCUUCUCCUCCCACAGCUUUAUCUCAGGUGGCCACUGAACAAGGAGCCGCUCCCGCAAGUGGUCUCUGGAAAGAUUUCUGUCUGAGUCUUCUUUUUGUUGACACUACAAAGACACCUCGUCGGAGCUGUCAUCUCGGUCAUCUCAGAAAGAGGCUCAGAAAGUGUUUUGUUUUGUUUUGUUUUGUUUUCACAUUUGAGAAAAGCCUAUGUUUACCUGGAAAGAUAAAGGGCGCAGGUGGAGAACAGGAAGAGGCAAGAACAUUUCUAGACGAGAUGCAACCCAUUGAUCUGACCUGGGCUGCCUCUUUCAUCCACCGGCAUAAUUAGGUAAACAGGAGACAGCCUACCUGAUGAUCCUCCUGUUAGAAUUAUUGCCAUCGACAGUAUCCAGGCAAGUUCUUUGUAUGACUUUGUUGUUCUAUGAAUACUGGUUUGUUUUUCCAUUCUGUCAUCUUCUUUAGGGAAAACUUAAAUGGUUGAUGUUUUUGGUUUUCUUAAAAAAUACGUAUCACAGGAUAAAAUAAAUGAGGAAAUUUGUAUCUUCGCUGAUCCCCAGGCGGUCUGAGAAGAUGAAAUUUGAAACUGUACAUUAGAGAGCCUCACAAAAUGAAGAAUCUAAAUCUGAAAUCAAGGGCAAAUUAAAUGAAGAUUGGGAUGAUUUAUACAUCACUUAGUUUCUGCUAACAGAUCAGAGGGGCAGCAGUUCUACUUGCUUUGAUAAGACAGCAGUUCUAGAAAGGAACAUCUAAGGUUCUAGAAGGAAGGAUAAGUACAAAUAAAUUCUCUAUUCACCUUUAAUUGAAAUCAGAGCCCAGUGUUAGCCUCAGAUCAUCAGCCUAGAUUAUUUGGUGAGAAUGUCUGAGGUUCCAGGUCUGGGCAGGCUCAUUAAGGGGUUAAUGGGCAAAAUGGAAGGGAAGCCUCUGGGUUCUGCCCUUCAGGACAGUGUAUAGGAGAGUGGGUUCCAUUGGUUGGAAAUCUUUUGCAGACCAAACAACAGGUGCGAACCUCAGAGUGUCUGCAUGCCGGUUCUAGCUCCUGAAUUAAUAAAAUGUUAUUUAUUUCAGUUCUGUUUCAUCACGAUUGCUAAGACAUGACAUUUCAAUUCUUCACUGAACCUCUAGAAACUUUGCUUCCUUUGUAGUUGUUUCUUUGAUGUUUACCUUUGUGUUUUCCGGAUAGCUUCUGAGAGCCUGAGAGAUCUAGCAAGUACUAGAAUGGCUACUCACAUAUGCCCAGAACUACCACACAGGCUCUGUGUCCAGGAUAUGUUUAAAACAAAAAAAUCAGUCAACAAAGAGAAAUAACUGACAUCUGUUGUGCACCAACUAUGUGCCAUGUAGGUAGUUCACUAAAUAAUAUCACUUUAUCCUUAUUGAAAAUAGAAGCAGUAAAUACUUUUGUUAACUUCAUUUGCAGAGUGGGAAACAGAGGCAAGGAAACUGGGGUUCAGACUGAGCCCUUGCUCCUAACCACUGGCUGCACUAAUAGAGCACUGACUUCAUGCUGGCCAUUGUGAUAGGCACUAGGAAUAUAUAAGCCAAC